ACUCUGUGACUCUGAGAGUCAAAACAAACUCACCAAUCUCCAUAAAUGAUUCCUUGAAAUGUUUUUACCCAGAAAUAAAUAAAUAUGCCUAUUUAAAAAGGCAUUUCAUAAUCAUAUUAACCGAAAUGUGAUAUAGAAAAUAAAGAUUCACGAGCGCAUAUAUUUUAAAAGUAGUGGAAUUCAUUUGACAGCCCAAUGUUUCCGCCACUUGUAGAGAGACGAGUAAAUUAAUAGCCGCCGCUUUCAGUAUAUAUUUGUGUAUCGUGAUUGUAUCAAGUGAAAUGAAGUUAUUCCGUGGGUGUCAAUUUUUUCUUGGUAACAAAUAGACGAUUAUCUUCCUCGGCGCAAGUAAAUAGGAAGGGGUGUGUGUGUACGAGUAUGUACCUCUUUGCAACGAUUUUUUGUCGAUGCUUAGUUUGUGGAAGAUAUCGGAUGUUGACCCUAUCUUCCGAAAGGCUGUUUCUUUGUAUUCUGCCUUAAAAACAAGAACAUUUGAUGUGGCGUCACCCAUUAUUUUUUCGACAGGACAUGUAAUAAAGGUAAAGUGAAACCCAGCAAAUUCAGCCAUUGAAAAGGCACAGAAAUGGAAGGACAAAUCGAAAUUUUGCAUAUUGUACGAGCCCACUGGCAAUAACUGUUUUG
This is a long non-coding RNA of Macrobrachium nipponense, 642 nucleotides long. RefSeq lists it as uncharacterized. Lineage: Eukaryota; Metazoa; Arthropoda; Malacostraca; Decapoda; Palaemonidae. The transcript is spliced from 5 exons. The record is from RefSeq and is a predicted model, not a curated record.